CGGCAGACGGGUGAGUAACGCGUGGGAACAUACCUUUUGGUUCGGAACAACACAGGGAAACUUGUGCUAAUACCGGAUAAGCCCUUACGGGGAAAGAUUUAUCGCCGAAAGAUUGGCCCGCGUCUGAUUAGCUAGUUGAUGAGGUAACGGCUCACCAAGGCGACGAUCAGUAGCUGGUCUGAGAGGAUGAUCAGCCACAUUGGGACUGAGACACGGCCCAA
RNAcentral lists this ribosomal RNA (221 nucleotides) under uncultured bacterium. RNAcentral describes it as "partial 16S ribosomal RNA". It matches the Rfam family "Bacterial small subunit ribosomal RNA", at positions 96 to 334 of the family's 1533-position model. The record is from RNAcentral.